UCCAGAUGUUAAACUAUCGUUCUGGGAACAGUCGCUCUUACAAGCUGUUCCCAUGGAGAUAGCUUAGCAACUCCU
This is a non-coding RNA of Branchiostoma floridae (Florida lancelet), 75 nucleotides long. The record is from Rfam. NCBI's taxonomy places the organism in Eukaryota, Metazoa, Chordata, Leptocardii, Amphioxiformes, Branchiostomatidae.